This 76-nucleotide transfer RNA is filed under the name Histophilus somni. Its description in RNAcentral is "tRNA-Ala". It matches the Rfam family "tRNA". From Rfam's summary of the family: Transfer RNA (tRNA) molecules are approximately 80 nucleotides in length. The record is from RNAcentral. Lineage: Bacteria; Pseudomonadati; Pseudomonadota; Gammaproteobacteria; Pasteurellales; Pasteurellaceae. RNAcentral also lists the same sequence under 4 other names.
GGGGAUAUAGCUCAGCUGGGAGAGCGCCUGCCUUGCACGCAGGAGGUCAGCGGUUCGAACCCGCUUAUCUCCACCA